CCAAGAGGGCACAGCGAUGGUAAAAUUACCUGCGGGUUCCAUCAUAAAAUAUAAACAUGUGAUGUUUGCACCCUCAGCACCUCGGAGUCUGAUCAGCUACCGAGAUGUGUAUAUUAAUGGUUAUCACCUCUCAACCGCCACUUUAAAUACAAAAGAAGUUUUGGUUCUUGCGAAGAACCAUAAAGUUGUUGAAAAAGCUU
RNAcentral lists this long non-coding RNA (200 nucleotides) under Physcomitrium patens. RNAcentral's name for it is "long non-coding RNA (PPAT_LNC001631)". Lineage: Eukaryota; Viridiplantae; Streptophyta; Bryopsida; Funariales; Funariaceae. The record is from RNAcentral.